CAGCCGCCGCGGUAAUACGAAGGGGGCUAGCGUUGUUCGGAAUUACUGGGCGUAAAGCGCACGUAGGCGGAUAUUUAAGUCAGGGGUGAAAUCCCGCAGCUCAACUGCGGAACUGCCUUUGAUACUGGUAUCUUGAGUAUGGAAGAGGUUAGUGGAAUUGCGAGUGUAGAGGUGAAAUUCGUAGAUAUUCGCAGGAACACCAGUGGCGAAGGCGGCUAACUGGUCCAUAACUGACGCUGAGGUGCGAAAGCGUGGGGAGCAAACAGGAUUAGAUACCCCUGUAGUCCCUGUCUCUUAUACC
This 301-nucleotide ribosomal RNA is filed under the name uncultured bacterium. RNAcentral's name for it is "partial 16S ribosomal RNA". It matches the Rfam family "Bacterial small subunit ribosomal RNA", at positions 509 to 808 of the family's 1533-position model. The record is from RNAcentral.